GUGUGAUAACAUUUCCGUCCAUUUCCGGCCCAUUAAACCUAUUCAUGUUCUAGGACCCUAGAAUAUUUCACAUUAUAUUCAACCAACCUACAGACUAGGUGUAAACCAACCCGUGGUUGGAUGGUUAGGAGGUGUGGUAUCCCUUGUCCACCAGAAUUCAAGUACGAGACUUGACGUUGGUGCUUGCAUUUUCCUGGUUUUAUUUCAGGUCUUCUGACGAUGUGCUUUCAGUGGG
This 235-nucleotide long non-coding RNA is filed under the name Hordeum vulgare. Its description in RNAcentral is "long non-coding RNA (HVUL_LNC012442)". Lineage: Eukaryota; Viridiplantae; Streptophyta; Magnoliopsida; Poales; Poaceae. The record is from RNAcentral.